Molecule: long non-coding RNA, 208 nt
Filed under: Elaeis guineensis (African oil palm)
Lineage: Eukaryota; Viridiplantae; Streptophyta; Magnoliopsida; Arecales; Arecaceae
Description: long non-coding RNA (EGUI_LNC052252)
Source: RNAcentral
UGGAACUGAAGUUGGAGUAGAAGAGGGCUCGACAGCUAUUCUUUUUCUACGUACAUCUUCCUCUAACCCUUAAACUGAUUUUCUUCUCUGCGGUAGCUUUGAUUUGAGAGCCAUUUUAGAUAGAAGAGACUUGCAAAUAGCUUAGGAGAGUCGAUGAGUGGUAGAGUGGAAGGGAUUUUUAGAGGAAAAGCAAAAAUUUUGGGAAGAU